UCCCUCUCAGGAUUGCACUUGGAGAGUUUUUAGUACUCUACUAGUCUCAGCUACAGGAGGGAAAGUCAAGCAGAGGCCUACCCAUUCCAUUCAUAGCUUGGGCAGUGGCUAGCGAGUGGAAGACAAUCUGCUAUAAGU
Ornithorhynchus anatinus (platypus) is the source of this 138-nucleotide small nucleolar RNA. The record is from RefSeq and is a predicted model, not a curated record. NCBI's taxonomy places the organism in Eukaryota, Metazoa, Chordata, Mammalia, Monotremata, Ornithorhynchidae.